ACGCCCGUAGCUCAGUUGGUUAGAGCGCCUCCCUUACAAGGAGGAUGUCGGGGGUUCGAGUCCCUCCGGGCGUACCA
Molecule: transfer RNA, 77 nt
Filed under: Planctomycetota bacterium
Lineage: Bacteria; Pseudomonadati; Planctomycetota
Description: Planctomycetes bacterium (activated sludge metagenome) tRNA-Val
Rfam family: tRNA
About the family: Transfer RNA (tRNA) molecules are approximately 80 nucleotides in length.
Source: RNAcentral